CUGGCCUCCAUGUUUGUGGACAGCAGGUUAACAGCGGUUAAAGGUCAGAGAGGUCGGACUAAAGCACAAAAAUCUAUAAACCUGUGUCAUACAGUGAAAUGAAAACAAAACACAUCGACUGGCGAGGAGUCCGUCUUCGCAUCAUAACGAGUCUCAUAUCGAGGCUGACGGAGAUAAACACGCUUUCAGACGUGAUGGAGACUCAGGCGGUGACGAGGAUGCGGAGAGCUGAAUGAAAUCAGCCCAGAUCGAACUUCCUGCUGCCGAUGGUAUCUGCUGUGUGAGCUGCUGGUUUUAUUACAGGGAACAGCGGGCGCGAGGGAAAGGUCGCCCUGCAGAUAUUGUUUUCUCGUUCCCGGCGGCCUGCGGGUCACAAAUAUCGACUGGGCCGCUUCCUGUUAUACGAAUGAAACCGUAUUCGGGAGAGAGGACGCGAGCAGGCGGGCAGAGGGAGCUGAACACAAAUGAACUUUAAUGUUACAGUUUGGCUACAAGAACACGUAACAUACGCGAACUGUCUGCAGAGUUUAUGUCCUGUUACAGCUGCGGCACAUUCAGCACGAAGCUCUGAGGCAGCUGCUGUUAACAAAGGAGGGAAGAAAGUAAAAGAAAAGAAAGAAAGGAGGAAGUAAAGGAACCUAAGAAAGGAAAUGAAGAAAAGAUGGAAGGAAGGAGGCAAAGAAUGGAGAAAGAACAAAAAAGAAAGAAGAGAAAAGGUAAAAAGAAAAAGCAGCAAACGAAGGAAUAUGAGGAAUGAAAAGGAAAAGGCGGGAUGGAGGAGAGGAAGGAAGGAAGGAAGGAUGAAUUCCUCAACCACUCGUCAAAUAUGUAGGUUUCAUUUCAAAAAUAAAAACAUUGUUAUGACCUGUUUUUGCUUGCACCACCUACACGCUGCUAUCACACCUGAUGUAGCUGCUUUCAGGGAUUAGAUUGGAGGUGUGCAGUGCUGCAUACGCUCGCUGCUACACGAAGAUGCAGCGUUACAGGAGGAAGUGUGGUGCUGGUUGGGGCAAGAUAACCAUUUACAAACUCAUCAAGCAAGAACAAAUCCACACAGGCAGGAACACCAUCUCCUCCACCGCAACAGAAAGCUCAAAGCUAACUGCGAGUGAACCACGAUGCAGCACUGCAAACACUCAGCGGGCUGAGGUCACACAGACUGAGCGUAUGGGGUUAAAAGGGUCACCAAGACCACAACAACCUGGUGCUGAAUGCCCAGAAGACAGUGGAGAUUAUUGUGGACUUCAGGAAGCACACAGCCGCACUCCCCCCCAUCAUCCUGUCUGACACCCCCAUCACCUCUGUGGACUCAUUCUGCUUCCUGGGUACCACCAUCACCCAGGACCUGAAGUGGGAGCCCACCAUCACCUCCGUCAUCAAGAAAGCCCAGCAGAGGAUGUACUUCCUGAGGCAGCUGAAGAAAUUCAACCUGCCAACACGGACGAUGAUGCAGUUCUACACUGCAAUCAUCGAGUCCAUCCUCACCUCCUCCAUCACCGUGUGGUACGCUGGAGCCACUAUCAGGGACAAACAGAGACUGCAGCGUGUUGUGCGCUCUGCUGAGAAGGUGAUUGGCUGCAGACUCCCAUCUCUGCAGGACCUGUACACCUCCAGGACAUUGCGGCGUGCAGCUCAGUCACAGCUGACCCUUCUCAC
This is a long non-coding RNA of Astatotilapia calliptera (eastern happy), 1656 nucleotides long. Lineage: Eukaryota; Metazoa; Chordata; Actinopteri; Cichliformes; Cichlidae. The record is from Ensembl.